GAAAGAAAAAAAUUUUCAGUACCUCCUGCUCAAUGUUUCUAUAAAUAGCCGCAAUAAUUCUGUGCUAAGGUAGCAUAAUCAUUUGCCUAGUAAUUAUAGGAUGGAAUGAAAGGAAGACCAUGUGAAUUUCUUUAUAUAAAAAAAAUUAUUUAAUUUAUUUAAUAAGUAAAAACCCUUAUUUUAUUAGGGGGACGACAAGACCCUAUCAAACUUCACAUUUAUGUUUAGCUGGGGCGGCAAAAAACUAUAACUUUUUAACUUCUACUCCCUACAACUUUUAAUAAAAAUUUUUACCAAGUUACUGUAGGGAUAACAGCAUAAUCUUUUUCAAAAGAUCUUAUAAAAAAAAAGGUUUAUGACCUCGAUGUUGAAUUAAGAACCUCCUACGAAGCAACAAUCUAGGAAGAAAGUCUGUUCGACUUUUAAUCCCUU
Molecule: ribosomal RNA, 432 nt
Filed under: Teyl sp. MYG012
Lineage: Eukaryota; Metazoa; Arthropoda; Arachnida; Araneae; Anamidae
Description: partial 16S ribosomal RNA
Rfam family: Archaeal large subunit ribosomal RNA
Source: RNAcentral